This 833-nucleotide ribosomal RNA is filed under the name uncultured archaeon. RNAcentral describes it as "bacterial SSU rRNA". It matches the Rfam family "Archaeal small subunit ribosomal RNA", at positions 21 to 859 of the family's 1478-position model. The record is from RNAcentral.
AGGUCACUGCUAUCGGUGUUCGAUUAAGCCAUGCGAGUCGUGAGGGGUAAAGCCCUCGGCGGAGUGCUCAGUAACACGUGGACAACCUACCCAAGAGUCAGGGAUAACCCCGGGAAACUGGGGAUAAUACCUGAUAGGCCAUGACAUCUGGAAUCGAGUUGUGGUUUAAACGUAAGGCUCUUGGAUGGGUCUGCGGCGGAUUAGGUUGUUGCCGGUGUAACGUACCAGCAAGCCUGUAAUCCGUACGGGUUGUGGGAGCAAGAGCCCGGAGAUGGAUUCUGAGACACGAAUCCAGGCCCUACGGGGCGCAGCAGGCGCGAAAACUCUACAAUGCAGGCAACUGCGAUAGGGGAACAUCGAGUGGCAUCCACCAUGGAUGUCUGUCCAAUCGUCUAAAAAACGAUUGUCAGCAAGGGCCGGGCAAGACCGGUGCCAGCCGCCGCGGUAAUACCGGCGGCUCGAGUGGUGGCCGAUAUUAUUGAGUCUAAAGGGUCCGUAGCCGGCUUUGCAAGUCCUAUGGGAAAUCCAGCGGCUUAACCGUUGGGCUUUCAUGGGAUACUACAUUGCUUGGGACUGGGAGAGGUAGGAGGUACUCAGGGGGUAGGGGUGAAAUCCUGUAAUCCUUUGGGACCACCGGUGGCGAAGGCGUCCUACCAGAACAGGUCCGACGGUGAGGGACGAAAGCUAGGGGCACGAACCGGAUUAGAUACCCGGGUAGUCCUAGCCGUAAACGAUGCUCGCUAGGUGUCACGGCAGUCGUGAAUUGUCGUGGUGCCGUAGGGAAGCCGUGAAGCGAGCCACUUGGGAAGUACGACCGCAAGGUUGAAACUUAA